CACAUGUGGAUGGUAGCCACUCUUCCCUUCCUCGUACAGUCACAGCACCCAGAGCAGAAUGUCCUGAAAGGUAGACCUAUGACGUGAAAACCCGCUCUACCUGGUCAUGGCCCGGGUUCAGCAUGCUCUGUUCCAUAGCUCUGCUGAUGUCCAGCAGCUUCAGUUUAGAGGACUUCAGAGUAAUCCAGAGCCUAGAGCUAAACUGUGCCCAGAUGCCCUGGGGCCGUGAGACCUUCACAAGAGGUUGUUUGUUAGAUAUGGAACUGCCAGCAGAUAUAUAGCCUUGUCUCCCGGGGUAGCUUGGCUCCCUCAACCAGGAGCCUGGGCGGAGCCUUUGGGACUCUUAUUUUAUAUGAUGCACCAGACACCAGCAGGAGUGCUCCUUCCAAACAACUCAGGGCAUGGCUGAAGACGAGAGAAUGUGCAGACACAAACCUGACAAGGGCACACAGCGCAGGAGAAGGCAGCCUGGGCAAGAAGGGAAAAAAGUUCUGCUGCCCUGACCCACAGACUUCUGCUUACUUCUUCAAGGUGACUUGCACCUGCGCCCUAGUCACGGUUUAGAAGAUCAGAUUUCCUCUCUGUCGGAUCUGCACACAGUGGACCCUCUGGGACCGACAACCUGCGCUGACUUGGCUCCCUCAAGAGAAACUGCCUCACAAAACACAGGCCUUCUUUAUCUCACUAGAAGAACCUUCUCAUUGGACGCAAUAAAAAAAAAAAAUCGUUUUCAAACCAA
Long non-coding RNA from Myodes glareolus (Bank vole), 739 nucleotides. RefSeq lists it as uncharacterized. Lineage: Eukaryota; Metazoa; Chordata; Mammalia; Rodentia; Cricetidae. The record is from RefSeq and is a predicted model, not a curated record.